GUGCCUGCUUUGACAGCACAUAUAAUUAAAUUGGAACUAUACAGAGAAGGUUAUCAUGGCCUCUAGGCAAGGAUGACACACAACUUCAUGAAGCCUUUCAUGGUUUU
Mesocricetus auratus (golden hamster) is the source of this 107-nucleotide small nuclear RNA. NCBI's taxonomy places the organism in Eukaryota, Metazoa, Chordata, Mammalia, Rodentia, Cricetidae. The record is from Ensembl.